UAUCCGCGCUGGACCGUGUACAAGUCUCCUGGAAUGGAGCGUCAUAGAGGGUGAGAAUCCCGUCUUUGACACGGACUGCCAGGGCUUUGUGAUGUGCUCUCGAAGAGUCGAGUUGUUUGGGAAUGCAGCUCAAAAUGGGUGGUAAAUUCCAUCUAAAGCUAAAUAUUGGCGAGAGACCGAUAGCGAACAAGUACCGUGAGGGAAAGAUGAAAAGAACUUUGGAAAGAGAGUUAAACAGUACGUGAAAUUGCUGAAAGGGAAACGCUUGAAGUCAGUCGCGUUGGCCAGGGAUCAACCUUGCUUUUUUGCUUGGCUUACUUUCUGGUCGAUGGGUCAGCAUCAAUUUUGACUGGUAGAAAAAGUUCAAGGGAAUGUGGCAUCUUCGGAUGUGUUAUAGCCCUUGUUCACAUAUAUCAGUUGGAAUUGAGGAACUCAGCACGCCGCAAGGCCGGGUUUUUAACCACGUACGUGCUUAGGAUGCUGGCAUAAUGGCUUUAAUCGACCCGUCUUGAAACACGGACCAAGGAGUCUAACAUGCCUGCGAGUGUUUGGGUGAAAAACCCGAGCGCAUAAUGAAAGUGAAAGUUGAGAUCCCUGUCAUGGGGAGCAUUGACGCCCGGAUCUGACCUUUUGUGACGAUUCUGCGGUAGAGCAUGUAUGUUGGGACCCGAAAGAUGGUGAACUAUGCCUGAAUAGGGUGAAGCCAGAGGAAACUCUGGUGGAGGCUCGUAGCGAUUCUGACGUGCAAAUCGAUCGUCAAAUUUGGGUAUAGGGGCGAAAGACUAAUCGAACCAUCUAGUAGCUGGUC
Molecule: ribosomal RNA, 808 nt
Filed under: Laccaria sp. F1120374
Lineage: Eukaryota; Fungi; Basidiomycota; Agaricomycetes; Agaricales; Hydnangiaceae
Description: eukaryotic LSU rRNA
Rfam family: Eukaryotic large subunit ribosomal RNA
Source: RNAcentral